CCCAGGUCAGGCGGGGCUACCCGCUGAAUUUAAGCAUAUCAAUAAGCGGAGGAAAAGAAACU
This 62-nucleotide ribosomal RNA is filed under the name Silene italica. RNAcentral describes it as "partial 26S ribosomal RNA". It matches the Rfam family "Eukaryotic large subunit ribosomal RNA", at positions 1 to 66 of the family's 3401-position model. Lineage: Eukaryota; Viridiplantae; Streptophyta; Magnoliopsida; Caryophyllales; Caryophyllaceae. The record is from RNAcentral.